UAAUAAGUGUUUUAUGGCACUUUUAAAAAUCCAUAUCCACCUUGUGUGAAAUGUCUGUCGCUUGUUAGCUUUUUUUCCUUUUUGGAAAGAAACAUAGCGACUCAACAUCAACUCAUUUUAAAUACUUUGUCUGAAAACUAUUAUGAAUAAACUAAUUCAAAAUA
RNAcentral lists this unclassified non-coding RNA (164 nucleotides) under uncultured Mortierella. Its description in RNAcentral is "sequence contains ITS1". Lineage: Eukaryota; Fungi; Mortierellomycota; Mortierellomycetes; Mortierellales; Mortierellaceae. The record is from RNAcentral.